UACGUAGGGUGCGAGCGUUGUCCGGAAUUAUUGGGCGUAAAGGGCUCGUAGGCGGUCUGUCGCGUCGGGAGUGAAAACUCAGGGCUUAACCCUGAGCCUGCUUCCGAUACGGGCAGACUAGAGGUAUGCAGGGGAGAACGGAAUUCCUGGUGUAGCGGUGGAAUGCGCAGAUAUCAGGAGGAACACCGGUGGCGAAGGCGGUUCUCUGGGCCGUAACUGACGCUGAGGAGCGAAAGCGUGGGGAGCGAACAGG
This 253-nucleotide ribosomal RNA is filed under the name uncultured bacterium. RNAcentral describes it as "partial 16S ribosomal RNA". It matches the Rfam family "Bacterial small subunit ribosomal RNA", at positions 524 to 776 of the family's 1533-position model. The record is from RNAcentral.